GGAAGUAAAAGUCGUAACAAGGUCUCCGUUGGUGAACCAGCGGAGGGAUCAUUACCGAGUUUCUAACUCCAUACCUUUGUGAACAUACCUAUCGUUGCUUCGGCGGGUUCGUCCCGGGGCUCGCAGUGCACGGCCUGCCCCGGAACCAGACGCCCGCCGAGGACCCCAAACUCUGUUUUUAUAGUGGAUCUUCUGAGUCUCAAACAAAAUAAAUUAAAACUUUCAGCAACGGAUCUCUUGGUUCUGGCAUCGAUGAAGAACGCAGCGAAAUGCGAUAAGUAAUGUGAAUUGCAGAAUUCAGUGAAUCAUCGAAUCUUUGAACGCACAUUGCGCCCGCCAGUACUCUGGCGGGCAUGCCUGUCCGAGCGUCAUUUCAACCCUCAGGGCCCGUCCGCGGGACCUGGUGUUGGGGAUCGGCUGCCCCUGGCGGCUGCCGGCCCUGAAAUACAGUGGCGGUCUCUUCGCGACCUCCCCUGCGUAGUAGUGAUACCUCGCAGCCGGAUAGCGGAGUGGCCACGCCGUAAAACCCCCUACUUCUCAAGGUUGACCUCGGAUCAGGUAGGAAUACCCGCUGAACUUAAGCAUAUCAAUAAGCGGAGGA
This 601-nucleotide unclassified non-coding RNA is filed under the name Amphichorda sp. IHEM 27974. RNAcentral describes it as "sequence contains 18S rRNA gene, ITS1, 5.8S rRNA gene, ITS2, 28S rRNA gene". The stretch from base 218 to 371 matches the Rfam family "5.8S ribosomal RNA". The record is from RNAcentral. Lineage: Eukaryota; Fungi; Ascomycota; Sordariomycetes; Hypocreales; Bionectriaceae.